GUAAUUUCCAAGUAUAUCCCUGACAAUUUCUUAAAUUGCAAGUAUACUCCUGACAAAUUUUUAAUUGCAAAUAUACCCCUGUCAUAUAUUACAUUCUCGUUGCGCUCUCUCGCCUGCCCCCCCCCCCCACACACACACACAUCGCUGUAGUUAAAGCGACUCAAAAUCUGUUGAAUUGUUGCAAACGCCGAGAAUGCAAAGAAAUAUAUUCCUGCGCAUUCACUGAAGGUGCAGAUUGCAAUCACGUCAGGGCAUAGAAGAUUCAGAAGACUCUCGGAACGGUCGUGUUAUUGUCUUCAAGACAGCAGGUACUAGGAAUUCAAAGAAAUAAAGCAUUUUUUCGCAUAGAGAUACCAAGCAAUGGCGAAGCCGAAGAGCAAUGCUCACACCAACAUGGCAACAGCAGGGAGGGCUUCUAGAGCUUGCGAUGGCUGCGGCUCUCAGGAACCACGAUGGUAUUAUGAGGCUAACAAUGUGUAUCUUUGUAGCAGAUGCGACUGGAGCGUGCACUCGGCUAAUGCUCUCGCCUCGCGCCACGAGCAUGUCCUUCUCAAUUCCCAGGGCACCGUUUCUCGAGGACCGAAGAAAGCCCAACGGCAACGAAGCUCACAAGGCUCACCAUCCUGGGUCAACGCACACCCACUUUCAGCCGUCACGGAAGCGCUCUCGUCUUUCCCAACGCCCAAUCCUCACCUUCAAAACGCGGCCGACAUUUCCAACCUAGAACAUUGCCGCGGUAAGUUGAAAUCCGAAAGCAGGAACCUGGGAGAAUCCCACGAGGUGUCAAACUUCAUCACCGUCAAUAUCCAGGAGUCUCCUCUCUCCUUUGCCCAUGACAGUGCCAUGGGGAUAUCCAUGGCAGAGUUUUGCAAGGGAAGGGCAACUGCAGUUGCGGCCGUGUACAUGGGCGUGGGGGACGCGUACGAGGAGCUCAGCAGUGGAGACUCCGGACCAGAUUUUCUGGUGCCGAAUGGCUACACGGAAGACUUAGUGAGUGCCACUGGAGCACCCACCGAGUACCACCGGAAUGCAGGAAGUUUCUUAGACGCUGGCAAUGGCGACGAGGACACGGACAACAGCCAUGAGAUGGCGUGUGUGGGAGAUGGCUUGCAGCUUUGUAGGAGCGACGAGCGUUACAGAGGUUAUCCCAUGGGAUUAGGGGAUGGGGACGCCUUUGAAGUUAAUUGUGAGAAUACGUCUGGAUUUGUUGAUGAAUGCUGCAAGGUAACCGGCGGUGGACUUGGCGAUGGCAUGGAAUGCAGCCUUCAAGCUAAAUUAACUUUAAUGUUAGAG
Molecule: long non-coding RNA, 1293 nt
Filed under: Physcomitrium patens
Lineage: Eukaryota; Viridiplantae; Streptophyta; Bryopsida; Funariales; Funariaceae
Description: long non-coding RNA (PPAT_LNC008557)
Source: RNAcentral